GCAUAAAUUGUUCUUGUGGAGAUAAAGUGGUUAUUGUGUCUCGAGUCAGUUGUUUUUGUGUUCCGAACUAAUAAUUUCACGUGCAUUGCUACGUUAAUGUUUGCCCCAGAGUUUUGCAGUCAUCUUUGCUAACAGUCCACAGGCAUAAAGAGUCAGCAGAGAAACUCAAGGAAACAGCCCUCACUUUGUCAUACAUAGUUUCACUUUAUAUGCUUGUUUUAUACUUCUCACAAGUGGAAAUUUCAUACAAAAGAACAGGAAGAAAAAUCAUGGCUAUCAGUGAAGACUGCCUGAUCAGGCUGACACCUCAGUCUGACAAGAAAUAAGGAGUCUUACACCUGCAGAGGAAACAUUUACUGCUGGUACCAGGACAUUCCCACGUGCUACUUAAGUACGAGCAGCCUUCCUGUCUUGCACACCUGCUGAUUUAGGUAGCCCUGAACAGAAAAAACACAAUAGGCGUUGGGUUGAGGACAUCUCAGGAAUCUCUUGGAUUGUUUCAGACCACCUCUAUGGAAGUCAGCAGCCUGCGUUUGCCAGGGUAUGUGGCUGGUGAUGGCGAACAGGCAACCGCUCUUCCCAAAGGUCACACAGCAUACAGCCAGGUGGCAGGCAGAAAAGCAGAGGGACCGUCGCUUCGAUUUAAACAAGGCUUAAACAGCUUAUGGGGUGGAGACGUUCAGGAACAGUGAAGACGUCACUGACCUUCCUCCCAGGACGCUACCUUAAAAAAUUGGGGCUGGGUGGGAGAACUUUCAUGUGCCACCCCCAGAGCUGCCUGGGAGCCACAGUGGUGGGUAAGAGGUUGUGACGGCGGUGUCCCUUCGGUGCUUGGUUUAUCACCUUAUUACUCUGAAGAACACCAAAGCCUCGGAAGCCAGUCCAGAGGUGGCCCUUUGCACUGACUGUAAUUACUGCACUGUUUUGAUCAUGGUUCUUAGAAAAUAGGUUCUGUGCAACUUUUGUCUCCCUACCAACAACUUCUGAUUUUUUAUUUUUUUUUUGAACAAACGAACUGUUAGCUGCAGUUAAAGAACUGAACAGAGAAUUUUUGAUUAAAGUGCCUGCUGGUUUCCCAAACUGAUGGAGGCCUGCGCCUCUCAUAGUGUUCUGAUUCAUACGGAGAACAGAGGACACUGGACGGGGGAAAACAGGCCUUGCUACUGUUCUUUUCAACCUCCCGUCAGCCAGCCACUGAACUGAAUGAAACACAACAAGGUGUUAUUGAUGCACAUGCAGAAAAGGCUGUGGCUAUCAAAUCUACUUAGCUAUUUCAACAGGCUCUGUAACAGUAGAAUUAAAAUGCACGCAGAAGCAUUGCUUUGAGAUAGGAACUGUUUGUUAUAUAUGAAUACAUGGUAUAAUAGGGGCUUUGAUUUUUGGUCAAUUUUCUUAGUAGCCUUUCUAUCAGAAAGGGAGGAGAGCAAGAUGCGUUCUGAGACUUGAACAAUUGAUCCAUGAGACAACAAUUUCCAUCCCCUGGAAUAUAGAUUGAAAUCUUCUGCAUUGCUAUUUUUGUACACAAUAAGGCAUUCUUUUUUUUUUUUUUUUUUGAAAAACAGAAUUGAAAACAUACAAAAAAGAAAUGAGGUUUGAAAGGCUCUUCACUUAAUGAUAGACCCAUGCCAGUAGAA
Long non-coding RNA from Anser brachyrhynchus (Pink-footed goose), 1634 nucleotides. The record is from Ensembl. Lineage: Eukaryota; Metazoa; Chordata; Aves; Anseriformes; Anatidae.